Molecule: ribosomal RNA, 469 nt
Filed under: uncultured bacterium
Lineage: Bacteria
Description: partial 16S ribosomal RNA
Rfam family: Bacterial small subunit ribosomal RNA
Source: RNAcentral
GACGAACGCUGGCGGCGUGCUUAACACAUGCAAGUCGAACGGAAAGGCCCUGCUUGCAGGGUGCUCGAGUGGCGAACGGGUGAGUAACACGUGGGUGAUCUGCCCCUUACUUUGGGAUAAGCCUGGGAAACUGGGUCUAAUACUGGAUAGGGCCAUGCUGUAGGUGGUGUGGUGGAAAGAUUAGUUUCGGUAAGGGAUGAGCUCGCGGCCUAUCAGCUUGUUGGUGGGGUAAUGGCCUACCAAGGCGUCGACGGGUAGCCGGCCUGAGAGGGUGGACGGCCACAUUGGGACUGAGAUACGGCCCAGACUCCUACGGGAGGCAGCAGUGGGGAAUAGUGCACAAUGGGCGCAAGCCUGAUGCAGCGACGCCGCGUGGGGGAUGACGGCCUUCGGGUUGUAAACUCCUUUCAGCCAUGACGAAGCCCUUGUGGUGACGGUAGUGGUAGAAGAAGCACCGGCUAACUACGUG